UUUUUUGUGCUGAACAUUAGUUAUUUAUGGUACAAGUAUAUUUUAAAUGAGUAAUUCUAUUUCAAAUAUAUUUUAUCAUCUCUCAAUUGUUACAUCUGACAUAGCAUUGUUAUUAUUAUAAGGUUCGAGCCACUGUUGCGGAAUUGAAGAAUGCUGUUCGUAUUUUCAGUCAUUUGUCUGCAGUCACAGGAUACCAGUCUUAUGGGUUUGAUGAGAAAAAGAUAAACACACAUGUUGGUUAUUGCAAACAUUUGCUUGAUGCUUCUAAGGCUCACUGUGAGGCUGCAGAACGUGAGGAGCACCAAAAUCGCCAGAAACAAGAAGUUCAACGUCAGAUUACAUUAGCUGAGGAAGCACGGCGUAAAGCUGAAGAACAAAGGAAGUUUCAGGUAAUCAAUUUUUUUUUAAUUCAUGUAAUUUUUGGGUGCAAAUCUUUUUUUAUUGACGUGGUAAACAAUUUUUUGUUUUGUAUCUGAAAACAGUUGGAAAGAAGGAAACAAGAAGAUGAGCGAAAACAAGUGAUGCAACAGGACCAACAUUUUCAACGGAUAAAGGUAUUUGUACCAUUUUUACUUUAAAGUGUGGAAUGCUUAUUUAUAUCUUUCUUGGUUAUUGAAGAAAUUUUUGUAUUAUGCCAAUAAGUCUUUAAAGUAGAUUAUAAUCGAUAAGCUAUAGUAAUUUCUAUCAUCUUAAAAAUAUUUCCUUUUUUACGUAAGAUAUAAUAAUUGCUUACAUUUUCUCUCCAUUUUUUAGGAGCAAUGGAAGAGUAACAAUGCUUCUGGCAGUAAGCGGAAAGACCGAUUGUUGGCCGAAGACGAAGACGGUGGAUAUGGAGAGAGGAAGAAGAGGAAAGGAGGAGGGAAGAGGAAAAGGA
This 874-nucleotide long non-coding RNA is filed under the name Zostera marina. Its description in RNAcentral is "long non-coding RNA (ZMAR_LNC005687)". The record is from RNAcentral. Lineage: Eukaryota; Viridiplantae; Streptophyta; Magnoliopsida; Alismatales; Zosteraceae.